Molecule: small nucleolar RNA, 104 nt
Filed under: Myotis lucifugus (little brown bat)
Lineage: Eukaryota; Metazoa; Chordata; Mammalia; Chiroptera; Vespertilionidae
Source: RNAcentral
CAACAACUCACUGAGCCAUCAAGAAACGGCAAAGGAAAAACACCGCUUUUGGGUGAAGGGGCAGCAUGUUGUGUUGCUUUGCUUCAAUCGGUGGUGUGACAAGG